Molecule: ribosomal RNA, 434 nt
Filed under: uncultured Eubacteriaceae bacterium
Lineage: Bacteria; Bacillati; Bacillota; Clostridia; Eubacteriales; Eubacteriaceae
Also listed under: 1 other name
Description: partial 16S ribosomal RNA
Rfam family: Bacterial small subunit ribosomal RNA
Source: RNAcentral
ACGGAAGGCAGCAGUGGGGAAUAUUGCGCAAUGGGGGGAACCCUGACGCAGCAAUACCGCGUGAGUGAAGAAGGUUUUCGGAUCGUAAAACUCUUUUAUCGGGGAAGAUAAUGACGGUACCCGAUGAAGAAGUCCCGGCUAACUACGUGCCAGCAGCCGCGGUAAUACGUAGGGGACAAGCGUUGUCCGGAAUGACUGGGCGUAAAGGGCGCGUAGGCGGACUGAUAAGUCUGAUGUGAAAGGUCUCGGCUCAACCGAGGACAUGCAUUGGAAACUGUCAGCCUUGAGUACUGGAGAGGCAAGUGGAAUUCCUAGUGUAGCGGUGAAAUGCGUAGAUAUUAGGAGGAACACCGGCGGCGAAGGCGGCUUGCUGGACAGAUACUGACGCUGAGGCGCGAAAGCGUGGGGAGCAAACAGGAUUAGAUACCCUGGUA